AACCUUAUGGACCUGCGGGCGUAUACCUGCGGAGGGAUCAUUACCAAUUAUAUAUGUUAGUUUGCCUGUGGCUUCGGUCACUGGUAUUAACUAUUAUGUAAACGUUGAACUAGAUCAAUUGGUGUGGAUUGCUUGGGAAUGGACGAAGCGACAAGCCUCUUCCGGACAGGCAAGCCCCACACUGAUAACCUUUUUCAUAUCAUUUACUCGUACAUACUACAAACAACAAAAAAUCUUAUA
This 240-nucleotide unclassified non-coding RNA is filed under the name soil metagenome. Its description in RNAcentral is "partial contains 5.8S ribosomal RNA, internal transcribed spacer 2, and large subunit ribosomal RNA". The record is from RNAcentral.